GCUCAGUAACACGUGGCCAAACUACCCUCUGGAGCGCGACAACCUCGGGAAACUGAGGCUAAUCGUGCAUACCGCUCUCACGCUGGAAGCUGCGGAGAGCUCGAAACGCCCCGGCGCCAGAGGAUGUGGCUGCGGCCGAUUAGGUAGACGGUUGGGUAACGGCCCACCGUGCUAGUAAUCGGUACGGGUUGUGAGAGCAAGAGCCCGGAGACGGUAUCUGAGACAAGAUACCGGGCCCUACGGGGCGCAGCAGGCGCGAAACCUUUACACUGCACGCCAGUGCGAUAAGGGGACUCCAAGUGCGAGGGCAUAGAGCCCUCGCUUUUCUGUACCGUAAGGUGGUACAAGAAUAAGUGCUGGGCAAGACCGGUGCCAGCCGCCGCGGUAAUACCGGCAGCACGAGUGAUGGCCGCUCUUAUUGGGUCUAAAGCGUCCGUAGCUGGCCGCGCAAGUCCAUCGGGAAAUCCGCACGCUUAACGUGUGGGCGUCCGGUGGAAACUGCGUGGCUUGGGACCGGAAGAUCCAGAGGGUACGUCCGGGGUAGGAGUGAAAUCCUGUAAUCCUGGACGGACCACCGGUGGCGAAAGCGCUCUGGAAAGACGGAUCCGACGGUGAGGGACGAAAGCUCGGGUCACGAACCGGAUUAGAUACCCGGGUAGUCCGAGCUGUAAACGAUGUCUGCUAGGUGUGCCACAGGCUACGAGCCUGUGGUGUGCCGUAGGGAAGCCGUGAAGCAGACCGCCUGGGAAGUACGUCCGCAAGGAUGAAACUUAAAGGAAUUGGCGGGGGAGCACUACAACCGGAGGAGCCUGCGGUUUAAUUGGACUCAACGCCGGACAUCUCACCAGCAUCGACAGUAGCGAUGAAGAUCAGUGUGAUGAGCUUAUCGGAGCUACUGAGAGGAGGUGCAUGGCCGCCGUCAGCUCGUACCGUGAGGCGUCCUGUUAAGUCAGGCAACGAGCGAGACCCGCACUCCUAAUUGCCAGCAACACCCUUGUGGUGGUUGGGUACAUUAGGAGGACUGCCAGUGCCAAACUGGAGGAAGGAACGGGCAACGGUAGGUCAGUAUGCCCCGAAUGUGCUGGGCAACACGCGGGCUACAAUGGUCGAGACAGUGGGAUGCAACCCCGAGAGGGGGCGCUAAUCUCCGAAACUCGAUCGUAGUUCGGAUUGCGGACUGAAACUCGUCCGCAUGAAGCUGGAUUAGGUAGUAAUCGCCGUUCA
RNAcentral lists this ribosomal RNA (1224 nucleotides) under uncultured archaeon. Its description in RNAcentral is "bacterial SSU rRNA". It matches the Rfam family "Archaeal small subunit ribosomal RNA", at positions 88 to 1307 of the family's 1478-position model. The record is from RNAcentral.